AACGAACGCUGGCGGCAGGCUUAACACAUGCAAGUCGAGCGCCCAGCAAUGGGAGCGGCGGACGGGUGAGUAACACGUGGGAACAUGCCUUUCGGUACGGAACAACGCAGGGAAACUUGCGCUAAUACCGUAUGCGCCGGAAACGGGAAAGAUUUAUCGCCGAAAGAUUGGCCCGCGUCUGAUUAGCUUGUUGGUGAGGUAACGGCUCACCAAGGCAUCGAUCAGUAGCUGGUUUGAGAGAGCGACCAGCCACACUGGGACUGCGACACGGCCCAGACUCCUACGGGAGGCAGCAGUGGGGAAUCUUGGACAAUGGGGGAAACCCUGAUCCAGCCAUGCCGCGUGAGUGAUGAAGGCCCUAGGGUUGUAAAACUCUUUCGGCGGGGACGAUAAUGACGGUACCCGCAGAAGAAGCUCCGGCUAACUUCGUGCCAGCCGCCGCAGUAA
Molecule: ribosomal RNA, 447 nt
Filed under: uncultured bacterium
Lineage: Bacteria
Description: partial 16S ribosomal RNA
Rfam family: Bacterial small subunit ribosomal RNA
Source: RNAcentral